UCUUAUUUAAUCCCCAUGGCAAUCACUGAGCAAAUUAUCAUCUCUUAUUUUAUAGAUGAAAGAAACCAAGGCUUCAAAAGGAAGCUACACUGAAGCAGAAAGAACUAGUGGUACCCCUGGAAGCCACACCUGCUCUUCCUAUGCUCCAGGGCUCUGUGCCAUUCCUGCAGCUUGAGCCAGGAGGAAUGUUUGCAAGGAUACCAGCCAUUUUGCCAAUGUGCACAGUUUUUCUUUAGUCAUUACUGGAGGAGACUGACUUUCUUCUGUUUCAAAUAUCUAAAGAUCACUUUCAGAGCAAACUGGGAGUAAACUAACUGGAUGGGCUAAUCCUACCUUGGAUCCUCCUCUGCCAUUUCAUUGUUAGAAUCAAUUUCUGCAGGAGUAUUUCACAUAUUUUACUGUCAGUGUCUCUGCAAACCCAACACAUUAUGGAGGAGAGAGCAAGCCUCUGAAGCCAGACACACCUGAGAUUAAAUCCUGGUUCUGCCAUUUUAUUAGCCAUGUGACUUUAAAAGGUUACUUAAUCUCUCAGGGCCUUGAUUUCCUCAUCUGUAAAAUCGGAAGCCACAUUCUCUAAAAGGACCAGCAAG
Molecule: long non-coding RNA, 590 nt
Filed under: Pan troglodytes (chimpanzee)
Lineage: Eukaryota; Metazoa; Chordata; Mammalia; Primates; Hominidae
Description: long non-coding RNA NONPTRT017916
Source: RNAcentral